GGAAAUCCCACAGAAAACACGCAAAAAAGCUCACACGCAGAACAAAAUCUCUUAGGAGGAGGAAAUCACGUCAUAUGGGAAAACACAACGGUAUGCAAUCAGAGACCGUAAUUGUUGAAUAUUCAGUUUCUGAUAAUGGGAUAAAGAAUAGAAAUGCUAUUAUCAAAUCUGGUAAGGAAUUGAUUGGUGAGGAUGAGGCAAGUAGUUCAAGAUACAGACCCGACACCAAUGCUGGUGAUGAAGCAUAUGAGCCUGCACAUUCUGAUAACUGGGCCGAAGCCACUGCUUGCUGGGAAGUUGGAAAAGCUAUUCUCCAAGGGCAUGACGAUAGCACACUCAUGACUCAGACUCUGCAGGGAUUCCUAGAUCGAGAACAGGAAGAGUGGAUCCUAAGGAAGAAGACGUGAUUUGCUUCCGUAUAUAGUCUGAAGGUAUGGUCUCUGAAAU
RNAcentral lists this long non-coding RNA (447 nucleotides) under Populus tremula. Its description in RNAcentral is "long non-coding RNA (PTRE_LNC001443)". Lineage: Eukaryota; Viridiplantae; Streptophyta; Magnoliopsida; Malpighiales; Salicaceae. The record is from RNAcentral.